Tinamus guttatus (white-throated tinamou) is the source of this 318-nucleotide non-coding RNA. Lineage: Eukaryota; Metazoa; Chordata; Aves; Tinamiformes; Tinamidae. The record is from RefSeq and is a predicted model, not a curated record.
AAUCUAAGAAUCCCCUGCCAACUCUUGAGGGCUCAAUCCAGAACGUUGAACUGAAGUACUGCAGCACAUCAUUGGUCAAAUGUGCCUCUGGGACCGUGGGAUCAAUAAAAAUUUGUGCCAAAGCCCCAGGUGACAGUGGAAAAGAGAAGCUGAUUCCUUUAAUUCAAGGUCCCUCUGACACCAGAGACUUGCACAGCAGUAAAUGGCUCAAUGAGAGUAGAAAGCCAGAGUCCCUCCUAGCUCCAGAUUUGGUAGUCUUUACAAUCCAAAUUCCACAGUGUAUGGACUACUGCCACAAUUCGGGUAAGUUUUUUUGUC